RNAcentral lists this ribosomal RNA (275 nucleotides) under uncultured bacterium. Its description in RNAcentral is "partial 16S ribosomal RNA". It matches the Rfam family "Bacterial small subunit ribosomal RNA", at positions 338 to 605 of the family's 1533-position model. The record is from RNAcentral.
CCUACGGGUGGCUGCAGUGGGGAAUUUUGGACAAUGGGCGCAAGCCUGAUCCAGCCAUGCCGCGUGCGGGAAGAAGGCCUUCGGGUUGUAAACCGCUUUUGUCGGGGAAGAAACGCUCUGGGUUAAUACCCUGGGGUAAUGACGGUACCCGAAGAAUAAGCACCGGCUAACUACGUGCCAGCAGCCGCGGUAAUACGUAGGGUGCAAGCGUUAAUCGGAAUUACUGGGCGUAAAGCGUGCGCAGGCGGUUGUGCAAGACAGAUGUGAAAUCCCCG